RNAcentral lists this ribosomal RNA (821 nucleotides) under Vulpicida tilesii. Its description in RNAcentral is "SSU rRNA". It matches the Rfam family "Bacterial small subunit ribosomal RNA", at positions 360 to 1152 of the family's 1533-position model. The record is from RNAcentral. Lineage: Eukaryota; Fungi; Ascomycota; Lecanoromycetes; Lecanorales; Parmeliaceae.
AAUGUAUAGCAAUAGCUGCUUGCAUCAUUGUAAAUAUGAUGCAAGAUCGACUAUGUCGAAUAAAAUUCUAGGUAGAAUUAUGAUAAUGACAUUGUCUGCCUAUGUGUCUUGACCAAAUUACGUGCCAGCAGUCGCGGUAAUACGUAGAAGACUAGUGUUAUUCAUGUUUAAUCGGUUUAAAGGGUACCUAGACGGUAAAUCAAGCCUAAAAGGAAAUAAAUGAAGGGACUAAUUUACUAGAGUUACUUAUGAGGGGGUAUUAAAGUACUGCUGGUGUAGAGAUGAAAUUCUGUCAUACCUCUUUUCAAUAGAAAAAUAAUGGCACAGGUAUAGGCGAAAGCAUCCCCUUAUGUGAUAACUGACGUUGAGGGACGAAGGCUUUGUGUAGCGAACAGGAUUAGAUACCCCAGUAGUCAAAGCAGAAAAUGAUGAAUGUCAUAGAUUAGAUAUAUAAGUUUAUUCUAUAAAUGAAAGUGUAAGCAUUCCACCUCAAGAGUAAUUUGGCAACAUUGGAACUGAAAUCAUUAGACCGUUUCUGAAACCAGUAGUGAAGUAUGUUGUUUAAUUUGAUGAUCCGCAAAAAACCUUACCACAAUUUGAAUAUUUAUAUCUUUUAUUGUUUUUCUUUUUAACUUUUUCUAAUUUUCUACUUAAAAGAAAAAAAUAACAAGAAAAAAGAGACAAUAAGAUAUAUUUACAAGCGUUGCACGGCUGUCUUCAGUUAAUGUCGCGAGACUAUGGUUAGUUCCAUUAAAUUAACGUAAACCCUUACUUUAUUUUUAUAUAGAGUAGUUCCCCGCUAUAUUGGAUAUGAUAACAGG